GGACUUGAAGAUAAUUUGAUGAAAUCUAAUUUAUAUGGUAUUGGAGUUCAUUACAGUAAAGUAGCUCACUUUGCAUCGAUAUUGGGGUGUAAAUCGGCUCGUUUCCGUUUAUUUAGGUCUCCCUAUGGGAUCUAAUAUGUCAAUACACCAUGGGUGGAAUAUAAUUAUUGAUAGAUCUUGCAAGAUGUUGUCGAAGUGCGAGGCAAAUCUUUUGUUAGUUGGUGGAAGGCCCAAGUGUAGAGGAUCGGGCCAUGAAAUUUCUGGAGGCCCAUGAUUGAGCUUCCAAGGGUGUCUAACGAAAACGAGCAUAACUUUGGCUACAGGUCUCUGUUUUUGGCGUUCAACCAGUCAAAUCGAAGCUUGAAACGAGGAGCACGUCACGUCAUGAGGGCCUUGUCCAAGUUUCGUCCCAAAAAAGGCAUUCUAAUGGGAGUUUUGGACACGUUUUAUGUUUUUUGGGUGUUUUAUGCAUUUUGUUUUUGGGCUUGUGUUUGGCUCAUGGCCUUUUUGUAGCCCAUUUCGAAUUUCAGUCUCUAUUUAUGUCUUCCUCUUGUAAUUUGGAUGGUCAGAAUUGAAUUUUGAGAAAUAACCAUUUUUACUUCAA
Molecule: long non-coding RNA, 604 nt
Filed under: Helianthus annuus (common sunflower)
Lineage: Eukaryota; Viridiplantae; Streptophyta; Magnoliopsida; Asterales; Asteraceae
Source: RNAcentral